This 201-nucleotide unclassified non-coding RNA is filed under the name Hevea brasiliensis (rubber tree). Lineage: Eukaryota; Viridiplantae; Streptophyta; Magnoliopsida; Malpighiales; Euphorbiaceae. The record is from RNAcentral.
AAAAAAAAAAAAAAAAUUGUACCUGGGGCUUUUUACAAUUAUUGUUAUAUCACUCUUGUUUGAAUUGAUAAUCAGAUAUUGUUGUUUCUGUUGCAAAACUCUGAACUUAAUGUGUGAACAAGUGGUCCUUUGAAAAUAGAAGCAUGCUUCCUGAUGAGACAUUGCACAUGAACUGCAGGUUGCUCGCAGUGGUCAUACAGU